AGAACGAACGCUGGCGGCAUGCCUAACACAUGCAAGUCGAACGCUUUUGGGGCUUCGGUCCCAAAGGAGUGGCGCACGGGUGAGUAGCGCGUGGGAACCUGCCCUGUUGUGGGGGAUAACCGAGGGAAACUUCGGCUAAUACCGCAUACGCCCGGGGGAAACUCCGGGGAAAGAUUUAUCGCAGCAGGAGGGGCCCGCGUCGGAUUAGGUAGUUGGUGGGGUAACGGCCCACCAAGCCUGUGAUCCGUAGCUGGUCUGAGAGGAUGAUCAGCCACACUGGGACUGAGACACGGCCCAGACUCCUACGGGAGGCAGCAGUGGGGAAUAUUGGACAAUGGGCGCAAGCCUGAUCCAGCAAUGCCGCGUGAGUGAUGAAGGCCUUCGGUUGUAAAGCUCUUUCGCACGCGACGAUGAUGACGGUAGCGUGAGAAGAGCCCGGCUAACUUCGCGCCAGCAGCCGC
RNAcentral lists this ribosomal RNA (461 nucleotides) under uncultured bacterium. Its description in RNAcentral is "SSU rRNA". It matches the Rfam family "Bacterial small subunit ribosomal RNA", at positions 26 to 518 of the family's 1533-position model. The record is from RNAcentral.